This is a long non-coding RNA of Arachis stenosperma, 856 nucleotides long. RefSeq lists it as uncharacterized. The record is from RefSeq and is a predicted model, not a curated record. The transcript has 5 exons. NCBI's taxonomy places the organism in Eukaryota, Viridiplantae, Streptophyta, Magnoliopsida, Fabales, Fabaceae.
CAGUCAUCGUCUCUCUCCCCCUACUCGUCAUGCCCUUCCUUGUUGCUUUCCUAGUCAUAUCUCCUGCUAUGUGUUCCCUUACCUCGCGUUGUUUCGAUUUUGUCGUCCUGCCUCGUGCUACUGUCGCUGUCCUGCCUUGCGACGUUGCCUUGUUUGUGCGUGUUGUCGUAUAGGUGUUAUAUCGCACGAUGCUCCGUGCUGCGACCUGUGGGUGUUGCCGUGUUGGAAGUUGCUAGUGUCGCCAUCGUUGCUGCUCUCUUCUCCGCCAUGGUGCCACCGAUUUAGCCCGCUCUUCUUCCCUCUGCAUACAAGCACGCUGAAACAUUUCAGCAAGGGGAAGAACAAUUCCAAAGUUCCAAAAACCCUUGGCUUUGAUUAAAUCCAUAUAACUUUUGAUUCGGAGCUCCGAUCACUGCACCGUUUGUGGCCACACGACUGCGGCAUCGAACUCUACAAAGUCCGGCACAUUAUAAGGAUCAAAUUAACUUGGUGGACUUGUUGGGUCUUGUCCCAAUUUCCCGUUGGUAAGGUGCAUGUAAAUAUGUGAUAUGAGGCAAUUGGAGAUGUUGGAAGCUUAAUUGGAAGCUCGGUGAGAGUUCUAGUUGCUGAAUUUUUGGCAGUUGAGGCUUACAACUUUUCCGUGUGGGGUACCUUGGAUAAAUACGUGAAAAUCGGCCAAGAUGUAGGUCGAGCGGCACCUCAGUAGGCGUCUGAAGUUUCUGCGGCGAAGUGGUUUACUUUGGGAUCCCCUUUUGUUACUUUGAUGUAUAUAUAUGUAUAGUUUUUCCUCUUGUAUAUAAGAAUACUUUGUUUAUGUACCUCUUAGAGGUUUUAUGGAGAACUAGGGUUUUGAACA